RNAcentral lists this ribosomal RNA (391 nucleotides) under uncultured bacterium. RNAcentral describes it as "bacterial SSU rRNA". It matches the Rfam family "Bacterial small subunit ribosomal RNA", at positions 30 to 425 of the family's 1533-position model. The record is from RNAcentral.
AUUGAACGCUGGCGGAAUGCUUUACACAUGCAAGUCGAACGGCAGCACGGGGCAACCUGGUGGCGAGUGGCGAACGGGUGAGUAAUAUAUCGGAACGUGCCCAAUCGUGGGGGAUAACGUAGCGAAGUUACGCUAAUACCGCAUACGAUCUACGGAUGAAAGCGGGGGAUCGCAAGACCUCGCGCGAAUGGAGCGGCCGAUAUCAGAUUAGGUAGUUGGUGGGGUAAAGGCUCACCAAGCCAACGAUCUGUAGCUGGUCUGAGAGGACGACCAGCCACACUGGAACUGAGACACGGUCCAGACUCCUACGGAGGCAGCAGUGGGGAAUUUUGGACAAUGGGCGCAAGCCUGAUCCAGCCAUUCCGCGUGCAGGAUGAAGGCCUUCGGGUUG